Molecule: transfer RNA, 73 nt
Organism: Gregarina niphandrodes
Lineage: Eukaryota; Apicomplexa; Conoidasida; Eugregarinorida; Gregarinidae
Rfam family: tRNA
About the family: Transfer RNA (tRNA) molecules are approximately 80 nucleotides in length. Their secondary structure includes four short double-helical elements and three loops (D, anti-codon, and T loops).
Source: Rfam
GCCACCUUAGCUCAGUCGGUAGAGCGCAAGACUCUUAAUCUUGCAGUCGCGGGUUCGAGCCCCGCAGGUGGUU